Molecule: long non-coding RNA, 392 nt
Organism: Lagopus muta (rock ptarmigan)
Lineage: Eukaryota; Metazoa; Chordata; Aves; Galliformes; Phasianidae
Exons: 3
Source: RefSeq, a predicted model, not a curated record
GAUGUCAGCGGCUCUGUGCAUGCUCAGCCUUACCGUGGCUCUCCUCAAGAGCAGUAGGUAUCCUUGCGAGCAGCCCCCUGGACACAUGGGGCAGCCGGCUUCCAAAGCCUCCGCUGUUACUGCGCGCUUACCUCCCUGGUGCAGAAGGUCUGUGACCGACCCGUCCCCUCCUUCUGCUCAGGUUAUGGGAUUUUCUUGGAUUAUCUCCUGUAUGAACUGGAGCAUUUCUCUGAGAAAAUAAAUCAAUUUCAACUUCAGAAUGUCUAGCGAUGAGGAAUCCAUAACAAUCCUCAGUGUUCUCUUCCCUGAGUAACUGCAAGCAGAAGCACAGUUCGUUGGUGCAAUGGCUUCUAACAGCUGCUUUGUUCAGCAUGGAUAUGUCAGAACACACA